AAGAGUUUUCCAAAUAAAAUGAAGAGGGCUAUCAUGGCAUAUCAAGUUUCUCUAAUUUUCAGGAAACAAAGAUACUAAUUUGCUUUACUCUUAGGGAUUCUUAAAAGGCCUCUUUUCUAACUGCAUAUUUAGAAUAUAUAAUCAGAGGACCAACGUUCAGUAUCCUUUUUUGUGCCAUCACUUUAAAAAGUGCAGCCAUGCUCCCCACUUAACUAUCUGGAGUUGAGAAAUGAUCUGGGAGUUAGCCCAGAAAUAGUGUGAACAGCUAGAGCCAAUAUUGACAAAUCCUUAUUCUGCAACCCCACAAGUUUCUCUCCUAGGUAAGCUCAUGGGGCUCUCAAUCAUACCCUGUCAUUCUUACUUCAGACACUAGUCCCACUUCUUUGGUUAUCUAUAUUCUGAGCCCACAAAUCAGAGGCAUCCAGCUGAAAAAGCUGAAAGCUUCUAGAAUGGCACUAUCCACUACGGUAGCCAGUGGCCCCCUGUGGCUACUGUGCACUUAAAAUGUGGCCAGUCCUAACUGCAAUGUGCUGGCUAGGGGAUAAGAAUGCAGCAGUGAACACGGUUCCUGCACUCAUGAAGCAAAUGUAUCCACUGUGGUACAAAAGAGACUGUAAAAAACAAACCCAAAUGGACAACAGAGUUCUGAACCAUCCUGUGACAAGUCUAGUUACCCUAAAGCUGUCAUGCAGGAGAGACCAUGUGGAGAGAAGGAGAGUUAGAGAGAGGAGGAGCCCCUGCUGUUUGAGUAUUCUCAGCCCAGACACCAGACAUGAGUGAGGAAGCAUUCAGACCCCAACUCCAGUUUAAAAACACCACCACUCAACAGCCUGUUU
This 836-nucleotide non-coding RNA is filed under the name Pan troglodytes (chimpanzee). The record is from RNAcentral. Lineage: Eukaryota; Metazoa; Chordata; Mammalia; Primates; Hominidae.